UUGAGGACGCACGAAGCCUCCUUGAGCUGCUGCGCGGGGAACCGUCUCAGAGGAAGAGGAAGAGGCUUCUGAAGACAACGAGAGGAUUUUGACAUCUAGUCCACGAAGGACCGGAAUGGCGAUGGUCCCACCGCGUCCUGUCUGUGCCGAGCACCAUCCUGACACACCAGGCGUGACUGUAGAUCAGCCGCAUAGAGCUUAGCUUUUAUCGCUCCAUAUAAACAAGGUCUACAC
Molecule: long non-coding RNA, 234 nt
Organism: Branchiostoma floridae (Florida lancelet)
Lineage: Eukaryota; Metazoa; Chordata; Leptocardii; Amphioxiformes; Branchiostomatidae
Exons: 2
Source: RefSeq, a predicted model, not a curated record